RNAcentral lists this ribosomal RNA (95 nucleotides) under Caerostris darwini. Lineage: Eukaryota; Metazoa; Arthropoda; Arachnida; Araneae; Araneidae. The record is from RNAcentral.
GAAUGUAUCGGUUCUCGUUCGAUCACCGAAGUCAAGCAUCAUAGGGCGCGGUCAGUACUUGGGAGGGUGACCACCUGGGAGCACCGAGUGCCGUU